GCCUGGUGUGUGUGUGAAGAGAGAGAGCGGAGAUGGGGAAAAAGUAACGGUUAGCUACAGAAGAGACGACAAGAAAAUAAAUAAAAGGAAUAUAAUAACUCCCUCGACAGCCAGAGUUGUGUCGGCGAUGCUCGCUGAGCUUCACUGUAACAGUCCAUGCUCUACUCCUCUCUUCAUUCCAUCUGCCUGCCUCCCUGCCAUGGCUACUGGGAUUCAUGCAAUCACGACAUCUGACAGGAAACUCACCCGGACCUCUCUGACUGCUUUCCCCACCACGUUGUUCUCCACCUGCGAACGAUGACUCUGAGCACCUUCUCCAAACCACGACCCAUUUCACCUUUAGCCCCCGUUCGUGGACUCUUUAAUCUGUAUAGUUUCAUCGCUCUACGUCUGGCUCACAGUUCAUGUUUGAAUUAUAGUGCCUCCGUCCGUGUCCGCGUUUGGGUUCAUUCUCCUGGCCCUGACAAGCAGAUGCUGAAGCACAUAGUGUGCAGAGGUUACCAACUUUCUACAGAGUUAAUCGCUGCAGCCCUCCAAACUUCAUGUGGUCUUCAGCUCAAGAACAGUGCAUAGAGAGCUUCAUUAAAUGGGUUUCCAAGGGGUAGUAGCUGUUGUAGGUUUUAGCAAUAUUGGCUUAUCUCAACUGGCACCCUGUUACAGCCAUAAUCUAAUAAUCAGGCCCCAUCUUAUCUUAAAAACCUUCUAAUAACAUAUCACCCCAAUAGAGUACUUUAUUCUAUUCAGACUUACAAAGUCAAGAAUUGUAAGAUGAGGUUGACUGACAUAUUGUUUGUAUAUCAAACAAUGCCUAGCUUUAAAGCAGCUGGCUUGACUUGGGUGUGGAUACAAAAAUAAAAGUAACAGUAAGUUAAAAAAAAAUAAAUAAAAAAAAUAAAAAAAUAAAAAAUUAGAUCAAGGUUCACAAACACAGCACAAAACAGCUGAACAAAAGACCACGGAAGUUGAAUAAAACAUAAGACAACGCAAUAGCGGUGGAAAAAAAAAUUGUCACAAAACACAAAUGAAAUAUGCUUAAAAGAAGCAGAGGUUUCAUUAGUGUUGUGAGGGAGAAAAAUAUGCAGUAAUGUGUGUUCUUAUUGCAUGAUUCAUAUAAUACUGUAGAUACAGCUAAUAGCUGCGGUUACUUCCGCAGCUGUUCCUACAUUACUGUCUGCCCAAAAACACUUUCAUUUUAUUUUGUUCAACCUUUGUGUUGUGUUGUAUUAUGAUUUGUGUACUUUUGCAGCAUUUUUCUAUCUGCUGGAAGCUUAAGUUGCAGUGCAGUUGACUGCAAAGAGCCACCACAGUAUGUCCUGGUUAAAUAAAUAAACGUGAAGGAAAAAAAAAAAAAAAAAUCAUGACAGCCAGAUAAUUGAGCGUGCGCACAUAUAUAUAUUUUAUCCUUACUGUAAACAUGCAAAUGUUUAGUAACAAGAUUUGCUGGUCUUUGAGGGAUCUGUGGAAUAAGUUUUUCAAAAAAACAAAUACAAAAAAAAAAACAGACGCAACAUUACAAUAAGCUACCAGAAAAAACAGUAAUACUGAAAUCUGUGGAGAACACGCGCGCGCACUUGCACAAACACCGAUUACACAAGGACGACAAGGACAAGCAAUAAAAACCAGCUCCUAAAAGCCUAGGAAAAGCCCAUACACACAUACAGUACAGGGAUAUGCAUGCACCUGGCAAUAGCAACAUUUAUCCUUCCAUUUUUAUACCUGUUUAUCCAUUCAGGGUCACAGAAGUAGCAUCAUAAAGUCUGAUCGCAC
Astatotilapia calliptera (eastern happy) is the source of this 1767-nucleotide long non-coding RNA. Lineage: Eukaryota; Metazoa; Chordata; Actinopteri; Cichliformes; Cichlidae. The record is from Ensembl.